This 519-nucleotide ribosomal RNA is filed under the name uncultured marine eukaryote. RNAcentral describes it as "SSU rRNA". It matches the Rfam family "Eukaryotic small subunit ribosomal RNA", at positions 613 to 1133 of the family's 1831-position model. The record is from RNAcentral.
UUGUGGUUAAAAAGCUCGUAGUUGGAUCUCAACAGCCUUGAAGCGGUUAACUUUGUAGUUUUACUGCUUUAUAGGCUGUGCUUUUGCUGGAGGUUUAGGGGUGCUCUUGAUCGAGUGUCUCUGGAUGCCAGCAGGUUUACUUUGAAAAAAUUAGAGUGCUCAAAGCAGGCUAAAAUGCCUGAAUAUUCGUGCAUGGAAUAAUAGAAUAGGAUGUCGAUCCUAUUUUGUUGGUUUUCGGGACUCGACAUAAUGAUAAAUAGGGACAGUCGGGGGCAUUUGUAUUCAAACGACAGAGGUGAAAUUCUUGGACCGUUUGAAGACAAACUACUGCGAAAGCAUUUGCCAAGAAUGUUUUCAUUAAUCAAGAACGAAAGUUAGAGGUUCGAAGGCGAUUAGAUACCGCCCUAGUUCUAACCAUAAACGAUGCCAGCUAGCGAUCUGCCUGCGUUUUUACUGUAGACUGGGCAGGAAGCUUCCGGGAAACCAAAGCAUUUGGGUUCCAGGGGAAGUAUGGUUGCA